Molecule: long non-coding RNA, 851 nt
Organism: Venturia canescens
Lineage: Eukaryota; Metazoa; Arthropoda; Insecta; Hymenoptera; Ichneumonidae
Exons: 3
Source: RefSeq, a predicted model, not a curated record
AUCAAUUUGUAGUACGAAGUGUUUUGACUCGCGCAUCUUUCAGCAGCUCUUGGCUCGUAACAAUCCACCGUGCUCCAGGAAUUGGGCGACCGAAAACGUACCGGCGACAGAGGCGAAAAUGUAGUAAAGAGUCCAGGCAAUAAUAAGAUUGUAGUACAGCAUGACAAUCGAACUGAUAAGGACCAUUCCAUACCCAAGGCCUCGGAGAAGUGGAGAGAAACGUUUAUAAGCGGCUACCGGUCCUAAGCUCGCAUACUGACCUUGAUUUUUUGAAACGAUCGUGUUAAAUCCUACUAAAUCCCCUCGUCGCGCUUCCAACUCGCUUUCCCCUCAGCAUCGCACGGGUGGAAAACAAAUGAGGAAAAAAACGGGGGAACCCGACGUCAAAGUGAUGGGAAAAAAAUACUGGUCGUUAGCAGGACUGCGAGAAAUUCAACUUCGUGUUGAGGCUGAAGGUCGAAACCUCGCGUUUCAGUUAACGUUUUGAGAAACAUUUUAAAAAGCUUGAAUAAGAGGUUGAAGCAGAUUGUGAAUAGACUUUUUCGGGUUUUCGGUAUUGAGAGUCCCGAUGGAGAGCAAACAAUAGAUUCGUCGAGCUUUGUGAGAUUCACGAGGAGAGAUUCUCAGUGAAAGAGACUUUUUGCAGAUCGAUACCGAGGGACUCGAGGUCGAGAAGCCAAGAAAAACCGGAUUCUUCGUCCGAGUUUUCAGAAUCCUCAGAAUCGUAAUAACAAUAAUAAUAUAAAGUGUUUUUACUAUAAAAAAGAAAAAUAGAAGGACUGUAAUCGUGAUUAAAGUUAAACUGUCUACGAGCAAACGUGAAAGAAUCAAAGAGCAUCGAAUAAAUGAGA